RNAcentral lists this ribosomal RNA (483 nucleotides) under Amesomyces nigricolor. Its description in RNAcentral is "eukaryotic LSU rRNA". The stretch from base 177 to 330 matches the Rfam family "5.8S ribosomal RNA". The record is from RNAcentral. Lineage: Eukaryota; Fungi; Ascomycota; Sordariomycetes; Sordariales; Chaetomiaceae.
GCGGAGGGAUCAUUACAGAGUUGCAAAACUCCCAAACCAUUGUGAACGUUACCAUUAUCGUUGCUUCGGCGGGCGGCGCCCAGCGCUCCCAGGCCCCCUCGCGGGGCGCCCGCCGGAGGUUACCUAACUCUUGACAACUGUAUGGCCUCUCUGAGUCUCUAUACUUAAUAAGUUAAAACUUUCAACAACGGAUCUCUUGGUUCUGGCAUCGAUGAAGAACGCAGCGAAAUGCGAUAAGUAAUGUGAAUUGCAGAAUUCAGUGAAUCAUCGAAUCUUUGAACGCACAUUGCGCCCGCCAGUAUUCUGGCGGGCAUGCCUGUUCGAGCGUCAUUUCAACCAUCAAGCCCCAGGCUUGUGUUGGGGACCUGCGGCUGCCGCAGGCCCUGAAAACCAGUGGCGGGCUCGCUAGUCACACCGACCCAAGGUUGACCUCGGAUCAGGUAGGAAGACCCGCUGAACUUAAGCAUAUCAAUAAGCGGAGGA